This 222-nucleotide non-coding RNA is filed under the name Clostridium sp. Its description in RNAcentral is "T-box sequence". It matches the Rfam family "T-box leader". Rfam says of the family: Uncharged tRNA acts as the effector for transcription antitermination of genes in the T-box leader family. T-boxes are found upstream of many aminoacyl-tRNA synthetase genes and some amino acid biosynthetic genes usually in Gram-positive bacteria. Lineage: Bacteria; Bacillati; Bacillota; Clostridia; Eubacteriales; Clostridiaceae. The record is from RNAcentral.
UUAAAUACAGUGAAAAGAAAUAGUAAAUUAAUUGAUGCAUUACAGAGAGAGGGAAUAGGUGAAAGCCCUUAUGAUAGAUUAAUUGAAGCAGUCUUGGAGUAUCAACUUUGAAACUAAGUAGGAGUUGACGGUAGUUCCGUUAUAACUUAAGGUUUUCCGAAGAUACUGUAGAUUUUUUACAGUAAUUAGGGUGGUACCGCGAGAUAUAUCCUCGCCCCUAUA